RNAcentral lists this ribosomal RNA (500 nucleotides) under uncultured bacterium. RNAcentral's name for it is "partial 16S ribosomal RNA". It matches the Rfam family "Bacterial small subunit ribosomal RNA", at positions 30 to 523 of the family's 1533-position model. The record is from RNAcentral.
AUUGAACGCUGGCGGCAUGCCUUACACAUGCAAGUCGAACGGCAGCACGGGAGCAAUCCUGGUGGCGAGUGGCGAACGGGUGAGUAAAGUAUCGGAACGUGCCCAGUCGUGGGGGAUAACGUAGCGAAAGUUACGCUAAUACCGCAUACGAUCUAUGGAUGAAAGCGGGGGAUCGCAAGACCUCGCGCGACUGGAGCGGCCGAUAUCAGACUAGGUAGUUGGUGGGGUAAAGGCUCACCAAGCCGACGAUCUGUAGCUGGUCUGAGAGGACGACCAGCCACACUGGGACUGAGACACGGCCCAGACUCCUACGGGAGGCAGCAGUGGGGAAUUUUGGACAAUGGGCGAAAGCCUGAUCCAGCCAUGCCGCGUGCAGGAUGAAGGCCUUCGGGUUGUAAACUGCUUUUGUACGGAACGAAAAGGUUUGGCCUAAUAAGCUGAGCUCAUGACGGUACCGUAAGAAUAAGCACCGGCUAACUACGUGCCAGCCGCCGCAGUAA